This 468-nucleotide ribosomal RNA is filed under the name uncultured bacterium. RNAcentral describes it as "partial 16S ribosomal RNA". It matches the Rfam family "Bacterial small subunit ribosomal RNA", at positions 28 to 507 of the family's 1533-position model. The record is from RNAcentral.
GACGAACGCUGGCGGCGUGCUUAACACAUGCAAGUCGAACGGAAAGGCCCUGCUUUUGUGGGGUGCUCGAGUGGCGAACGGGUGAGUAACACGUGAGUAACCUGCCCUUGAUUUUGGGAUAACUUCAGGAAACUGGGGCUAAUACCGGAUAGGAGCUCCUGCUGCAUGGUGGGGGUUGGAAAGUUUCGGCGGUUGGGGAUGGACUCGCGGCUUAUCAGCUUGUUGGUGGGGUAGUGGCUUACCAAGGCUUUGACGGGUAGCCGGCCUGGGAGGGUGACCGGCCACAUUGGGACUGAGAUACGGCCCAGACUCCAACGGGAGGCAGCAGUGGGGAAUAUUGCACAAUGGGCGGAAGCCUGAUGCAGCAACGCCGCGUGCGGGAUGACGGCCUUCGGGUUGUAAACCGCUUUCGCCUGUGACGAAGCGUGAGUGACGGUAAUGGGUAAAGAAGCACCGGCUAACUACGUG